UACGUAUGGUGCAAGCGUUAUCCGGAUUUACUGGGCGUAAAGGGAGCGCAGGCGGCGCGCCAAGUCUGAUGUGAAACCCCGGGGCUCAACCCCGGGCAUGCAUUGGAAACUGGCGGGCUGGAGUGCCGGAGAGGUAAGCGGAAUUCCUAGUGUAGCGGUGAAAUGCGUAGAUAUUAGGAGGAACACCAGUGGCGAAGGCGGCCUGCUGGACGGUGACUGACGUUGAGGCUCGAAAGCGUGGGGAGCAAACAGG
RNAcentral lists this ribosomal RNA (253 nucleotides) under uncultured bacterium. RNAcentral's name for it is "partial 16S ribosomal RNA". It matches the Rfam family "Bacterial small subunit ribosomal RNA", at positions 524 to 776 of the family's 1533-position model. The record is from RNAcentral.